This 323-nucleotide ribosomal RNA is filed under the name uncultured bacterium. RNAcentral's name for it is "bacterial SSU rRNA". It matches the Rfam family "Bacterial small subunit ribosomal RNA", at positions 1070 to 1390 of the family's 1533-position model. The record is from RNAcentral.
GGGUGUUGGGUUAAGUCCCGCAACGAGCCGCAACCCCUAUGUUUAGUUGCCAGCAUGUAAUGAUGGGGACUCUAGACAGACUGCCUACGCAAGUAGAGAGGAAGGAGGGGAUGACGUCAAGUCAUCAUGGCCCUUACGCCCAGGGCUACACACGUGCUACAAUGGAGAGUACAGAGGGUCGCUACGCAGCAAUGUGAUGCCAAUCUCAAAAAGCUCUUCUCAGUUCGGAUUGAGGUCUGCAACUCGACCUCAUGAAGUUGGAAUCGCUAGUAAUCGCGCAUCAGCAAUGGCGCGGUGAAUACGUUCCCGGACCUUGUACACAC